Long non-coding RNA from Homo sapiens (human), 451 nucleotides. Lineage: Eukaryota; Metazoa; Chordata; Mammalia; Primates; Hominidae. The record is from Ensembl.
GCAGUCUGGACCUUCACCACCCCAGGGCGAGGGCACAGGCGAAGCAGCAGCACCCCCCCGGGGCCUCUCUUUAUUUGGAAUACAGUGUGGGGGCUCCCCCUUCCUUCUCCAGCCCGCCCAGGCCCCUGGAGCUGUCCUGGGGCCUGGGGAGUGAGGACCCGUGCCAGCAGCACAGACUCUGCCAGGCCGGGCCCGCUCAGGUGGGAGCCCAGGCCGGGUGAAGCUGUGACCCGGCCCUCACCCCAACUCGGUGACAAAAGCUAUCACAGGGCUGCAGUGGGGGAGGAACAGGACGCAUCUGCCAGGCACCUGACCCGCAGUGCACUUCUGGGAGCUGUGCUUAUCUCCCCGGGGUCUAUUUCGCCCCAAGGUUUGGCGGGUUAAAAGCUGAUAUGCAACCGGCACGACAUGAACAGUAUUUCAUGAUUAAAGACAUCGCGUCCAUGUAUAA